This 616-nucleotide ribosomal RNA is filed under the name uncultured bacterium. RNAcentral describes it as "bacterial SSU rRNA". It matches the Rfam family "Bacterial small subunit ribosomal RNA", at positions 338 to 947 of the family's 1533-position model. The record is from RNAcentral.
CCUACGGGAGGCAGCAGUGGGGAAUUUUGGACAAUGGGCGAAAGCCUGAUCCAGCCAUGCCGCGUGCAGGAUGAAGGCCUUCGGGUUGUAAACUGCUUUUGUACGGAACGAAAAGCCUCUUUCUAAUAAAGAGGGGUCAUGACGGUACCGUAAGAAUAAGCACCGGCUAACUACGUGCCAGCAGCCGCGGUAAUACGUAGGGUGCGAGCGUUAAUCGGAAUUACUGGGCGUAAAGCGUGCGCAGGCGGUUAUAUAAGACAGUUGUGAAAUCCCCGGGCUCAACCUGGGAACUGCAUCUGUGACUGUAUAGCUAGAGUACGGUAGAGGGGGAUGGAAUUCCGCGUGUAGCAGUGAAAUGCGUAGAUAUGCGGAGGAACACCGAUGGCGAAGGCAAUCCCCUGGACCUGUACUGACGCUCAUGCACGAAAGCGUGGGGAGCAAACAGGAUUAGAUACCCUGGUAGUCCACGCCCUAAACGAUGUCAACUGGUUGUUGGGAAUUCACUUUCUCAGUAACGAAGCUAACGCGUGAAGUUGACCGCCUGGGGAAGUCGGCCGCAAGGUUGAAACUCAAGGAAUUGAGNGNGNGAGNGCGACGACGACGACGAGGGAGGAGG